Non-coding RNA from Pelobates cultripes (western spadefoot toad), 240 nucleotides. Lineage: Eukaryota; Metazoa; Chordata; Amphibia; Anura; Pelobatidae. The record is from the annotation of a GenBank genome assembly.
GUCCGGGGAGGCUCACAGAUCAUUUCUCUAGGUCGGUUUGUCUUGACAACCCGUCAGCGUUCCCAUUCUGUUUGCCCGGGCAGUACUGAAUGUUAAAGUCAAAAGGCUGCAGCGCCAAACUCCAGCGCAGCAGCCUGGAAUUGUCCCCAGCCACACGGUUUAGCCAGACCAACGGGUUGUGAGCCGUGAGCAAGGAAAAGGGCUGUCCAUACAAAUAUGGCUGCAUUUUCUUCAGGGCCC